RNAcentral lists this ribosomal RNA (445 nucleotides) under uncultured bacterium. RNAcentral describes it as "partial 16S ribosomal RNA". It matches the Rfam family "Bacterial small subunit ribosomal RNA", at positions 354 to 796 of the family's 1533-position model. The record is from RNAcentral.
GUGAGGAAUAUUGCGCAAUGGAGGCAACUCUGACGCAGCCAUGCCGCGUGCAGGAAGAAGGCGCUACGCGUUGUAAACUGCUUUUAACCGGGAAGAAACCCCAGGACGUGUCCUGGGUUGACGGUACCGGAGGAAUAAGCACCGGCUAACUUCGUGCCAGCAGCCGCGGUAAUACGAAGGGUGCAAGCGUUAUCCGGAUUCAUUGGGUUUAAAGGGUGCGUAGGCGGAGCGUUAAGUCAGUGGUGAAAUCCUGCAGCUUAACUGUAGACCUGCCAUUGAUACUGGCGCUCUUGAGUGCGCUUGAAGUGGGCGGAAUGUGCCGUGUAGCGGUGAAAUGCUUAGAUAUGGCACAGAACACCAAUUGCGAAGGCAGCUCACUAAGGCGAUACUGACGCUGAGGCACGAAAGCGUGGGGAUCGAACAGGAUUAGAAACCCUGGUAGUCC